CCUACGGGAGGCAGCAGUGAGGAAUAUUGGUCAAUGGGCUUACGCCUGAACCAGCCAAGUCGCGUGAGGGAAGACUGCCCUAUGGGUUGUAAACCUCUUCUGCCAGGGAGCAACGCCGGCUACGUGUAGCCGGACUGAGAGCACCUGAAGAAAAAGCAUCGGCUAACUCCGUGCCAGCAGCCGCGGUAAUACGGAGGAUGCGAGCGUUAUCCGGAUUUAUUGGGUUGAAAGGGUGCGUAGGCGGAAUGCCAAGUCAGCGGUAAAAGCGCGGGGCUCAACCUCGCUCCGCCGUUGAAACUGGCGUUCUUGAGUGGGCGAGAGGUAUGCGGAAUGCGUGGUGUAGCGGUGAAAUGCGUAGAUAUCACGCAGAACUCCGAUUGCGAAGGCAGCAUACCGGCGCCCAACUGACGCUGAAGCACGAAGGCGUGGGUAUCGAACAGGAUUAGAUACCCUUGUAGUC
RNAcentral lists this ribosomal RNA (460 nucleotides) under uncultured bacterium. Its description in RNAcentral is "partial 16S ribosomal RNA". It matches the Rfam family "Bacterial small subunit ribosomal RNA", at positions 338 to 795 of the family's 1533-position model. The record is from RNAcentral.